CGCUGUUGCUGAUGAGACCUACCACAGUUGUGUCAUCCGCAAACUUGAUGAUGUGGUUGGAGCUGAACUUGGCAGUGCAGUCGUGGGUCAGCAGCGUGAAGAGCAGUGGGCUGAGCACACAGCCUUGUGGGGCACCUGUGCUCAGUGUGGUAGUGCUCGAGGUGUUGUGGCCGACAUGGACUGACUGAGGUCUUCCAGUUAGAAAGUCCAGGAUCCAAUUACAGAGGGAAUUGUUAAGGCCCAGCAGGUUUAGUUUCUUAAUGAGCUGUUGUGGGAUUAUUGUGUUGAAUGCUGAGCCGAAUUCGAUGAACAGCAUUCUGACAUAGGAGUCUUUAUUUUCUAGGUGGGUAAGAGCCAGGAGGACAUUGAUAAGAGAAGCUACCAGGAGGCCAAAGGCAACUUUGAAGGACUUACAAG
This is a long non-coding RNA of Cyprinus carpio carpio, 417 nucleotides long. The record is from Ensembl. NCBI's taxonomy places the organism in Eukaryota, Metazoa, Chordata, Actinopteri, Cypriniformes, Cyprinidae.